This 253-nucleotide ribosomal RNA is filed under the name uncultured bacterium. RNAcentral describes it as "partial 16S ribosomal RNA". It matches the Rfam family "Bacterial small subunit ribosomal RNA", at positions 524 to 776 of the family's 1533-position model. The record is from RNAcentral.
UACGUAGGUGGCAAGCGUUGUCCGGAAUUAUUGGGUUUAAAGGGUGCGUAGGCGGCUUUGUAAGUCCGAGGUGAAAUAUGGCAGCUCAACUGUCAAGGUGCCAUUGAUACUGCGGAGCUUGAGUACAGAUGAGGUAGGCGGAAUUGACGGUGUAGCGGUGAAAUGCUUAGAUAUCGUCAAGAACACCUAUAGCGAAGGCAGCUUACUAGGCUGUAACUGACGCUGAGGCACGAAGGUGUGGGGAUCAAACAGG